Molecule: transfer RNA, 75 nt
Filed under: Planctomycetota bacterium
Lineage: Bacteria; Pseudomonadati; Planctomycetota
Description: Planctomycetes bacterium (activated sludge metagenome) tRNA-Gln
Rfam family: tRNA
About the family: Transfer RNA (tRNA) molecules are approximately 80 nucleotides in length. Their secondary structure includes four short double-helical elements and three loops (D, anti-codon, and T loops).
Source: RNAcentral
UCGCGGGUCGUCCAACUGUUAGGACGUCGGGCUCUGAACCCGAAAAUGGUGGUUAGAAUCCAUCCCCGCGAACCA